This is an RNA transcript of Gadus chalcogrammus (walleye pollock), 8353 nucleotides long. RefSeq lists it as uncharacterized. The transcript is spliced from 7 exons. Lineage: Eukaryota; Metazoa; Chordata; Actinopteri; Gadiformes; Gadidae. The record is from RefSeq and is a predicted model, not a curated record.
CUGUCACUCAGCUUUCCAUAUCCGAUUGCAUCGCCACACACCGCACAUGUCAUUCGGGUUAACUGAUUGCACUAGCGUGUUGGGAUUGCUCAUUUAACAUAUGCUGGGAUUUUUAUAGUCUUAUGGGGUUUCCUUGAAAGUUUCCCAUUGUGCUAAACAAUUGUACAAGGGGGAUUCCAAAGAACAGGUGACAGAUGUUUCCCUUGAGUUUCUCAGUAAAGAUCUGAUCAAAGGCAAAUCAUCUUGAAACGUAAUCAACAUGGUAAACUAAUUAAUCUCACUAACCUGUAAUAUCACCGUUUUGCCUAGGGCUGACACACACACAACCAUGCCCUACACAUAACGAAGAUUGUAGACAAAUAUAGACUCUGUAAGUUAAGACGGAAUGUUUUCAGUAGCUCAACAUGUCACUGAUUGUUUAAACAGAUGUCAGUAAUAAUGUUUGAAUAGGAUUAGGGUAUGUUUUAUAUAUAUAUAGAUAUAGAUAUAGAUAUAUGUACAUGUAAUCAAAUACUUAUAUAUGAAGGACUUUUUUUUCUAUUCUAUUUUCAUUCAUCAUUGUGACAUUGAGCUUACUAAUGAGACACACUGAGACACUGACAUUUCCAGCAAAAAGUGUGAUGGCAGACAACUCAGCAGACAUCAGUACAUCUGCAGGCUAGCACUUUCUAGAGUCUUCUAGAACCCUCCAAGGUGUCCCCAGUUUAAGCAUUGGUAAUAGAUUAGUGCUGGUAAUAGAAUGAGUAUUCUACUUCAAAUAUACUUACAAAACAAUUCUGAUAGAACCAGUAGGCUGACAAUAGCUUAAAGGCCUUGUACAUCAGAAUGCAUCACAGGAUUUUUUAUUGGCAAGCCACAUUGAGAGGACUGGAGGACUCGUUGUAGUAGGCCUAUUGUGAAAUCCUGAACACAUUUAAAUAUUCUGUGACCUGGGCUAAUGUCUCACCAUAGUGACCCAUCAUUGCAUUGUGUAUAACCGACCGAAACCAAAUAUCUACAUAAUAACAACUAACUGUACAAUGGUCCUAUGCUUCUAAAAUGGAGAUGGUGAUUGUGCGAUGUCGCGCCUUUCGAGCCCUAUAGUUGGCUUACAUUAAGCUAGCAGGCCAUAGCCCUAAAACGUAAAAUAGCCUAGGUCAGUAGAACAGCAGCCUAUUAUAUUAUCCUUCGGUAAGAACUAAAUUUCACAGGUACUAUGUUAUUUGCAUAAUUGUUACAUAUGCGAUCAGAGGGAUCAAUGAAAGUGGAAUUUGUCAGUGGAAACUGUUCUCCAACAUUUGGCUUUAGCUAUAUUCUGGUACACUUUUAAUACUUGUAAACAGGCUUGCUUUUAUUACCUCACUGUUAUCAUGGUACUUCUGAUAAAAGCACAUGACAAUAUAACGUGCACGUUUUGUUGACAGAUUUAGUGUGCUUACGUCAUUUCACCACAGUUUCCUAACUUUCUGUACAGCACUUCCUGUAAUGUGGACAGUGUAGCGCAUCUCUGCCAACAUGUGGGAUUUGAAGAUGAUGCUUUUGUUGCUCCUAUGCCUGCUACUGCCAUCUUCAACGGGUGAGUACUGGUCUCUCUAAUCCUGGUAUGUUCUGGUCUCUACUGGUAUGUUCUGGUCUCUAGUACUGCUUUGUUCUGGUCUCUAAUACUGGUAUGUUCUGGUCUCUAAUCCUGGUAUGUUCUGGUCUCUAAUCCUGGUAUGUUCUGGUCUCUAAUACUGGUAUGUUCUGGUCUCUAAUCCUGGUAUGUUCUGGUCUCUAAUCCUGGUAUGUUCUGGUCUCUAGUACUGGUAUGUUCUGGUCUCUAAUACUGGUAUGUUCUGGUCUCUAAUCCUGGCAUGUUCUGGUCUCUAAUCCUGGUAUGUUCUGAUCUCUAGUACUGGUAUGUUCUGGUUUCUAAUCCUGGUAUGUUCGGGUCUCUAGUACUGGUAUGUUCUGGUCUCUAGUACUGGUAUGUUCUGGUCUCUAAUACUGGUAUGUUCUGGUCUCUAAUCCUGGCAUGUUCUGGUCUCUAAUCCUGGUAUGUUCUGAUCUCUAGUACUGGUAUGUUCUGGUUUCUAAUCCUGGUAUGUUCGGGUCUCUAGUACUGGUAUGUUCUGGUCUCUAGUACUGGUAUGUUCUGGUCUCUAAUACUGGUAUGUUUUGGUCUCUAGUACUGGUUUGUUCUGGUCUCUAAUCCUGGUAUGUUCUGGUCUCUAAUCCUGGUAUGUUCUGGUCUCUUAUCCUGGUAUGUUCUGGUCUCUAGUACUGGUAUGUUCUGGUCUCUAAUCCUGGUAUGUUCUGGUCUCUAGUACUGGUUUGUUCUGGUCUCUAGUACUGGUAUGUUCUGGUCUCUAGUACUGGUAUGUUCUGGUCUCUAUUUAUGGUUUUUUCUGGUCUCUAGUACUGGUUUGUUCUUGUCUCUAGUACUGGUUUGUUCUGGUCUAUACUGGUAUGUUCUGGUCUCUACUACUGGUAUGUUCUGGUCUCUAGUACUGGUAUGUUCUGGUCUCUAAUACUGGUAUGUUCUGGUCUCUAAUCCUGGUAUGUUCUGAUCUCUAGUACUGGUAUGUUCUGGUUUCUAAUCCUGGUAUGUUCGGGUCUCUAGUACUGGUAUGUUCUGGUCUCUAGUACUGGUAUGUUCUGGUCUCUAAUACUGGUAUGUUUUGGUCUCUAGUACUGGUUUGUUCUGGUCUCUAAUCCUGGUAUGUUCUGGUCUCUAAUCCUGGUAUGUUCUGGUCUCUAAUCCUGGUAUGUUCUGGUCUCUAGUACUGGUAUGUUCUGGUCUCUAAUCCUGGUAUGUUCUGGUCUCUAGUACUGAUAUGUUCUGGUCUCUAGUACUGGUAUGUUCUGGUCUCUAUUUAUGGUUUGUUCUGGUCUCUAGUACUGGUUUGUUCUGGGGCCGUAUUCACAAAGCAUUUUAUCUUACCGCUAGGAGUGCUCCUAACUCGCGCUAAAACAUUUUACGUAGGAGUUUUUUCUUAAAAGUCAUUCACAAAGCCGCUGAGACCUACUCUUACUAAGGAUAAAUCACAAAGAGUGAACUAAGAGUGACGCGCCGUUGCUAUGGAUUACGUCAAUUCUCGUGCACGAGUUUAGAAGCUGUCAGUUCGGUGAUUGGUUGUUCAGACGAGCCCACUGAAUCACCGAAAAACAAGGAAAUAGCCUAGGCUAGAAAUUAAUUCCUAUUAAGUAGUUAUUGUGCAGUUAGCAGAAUACACGCAUGAUGACAAUUUUGUGCAGACCACGAUAAUGACGUUGUAGCCUGCACGUUCAAGAGAGAGAGAAAGCAAACAAUAAAAAUACGUAAAAUCUAAAAGAAAAUAAAUGUUACGAACUACCCAAGUGUUGACUGAUUUGUGCCAAGGUGUUUACCUAAAAUGUGUUUUCAAAGUGAUCCCUAAAUGCCUGUCCACUCGGUUCCACACGGCCAAAUUCCUUGUAAUGUUGAUCGCCAUCAUCAUCAUCAUCAUCAUCGUCUGGCUGUGGAAUGUUCCUCCGCUUGCAGAGGUUGUGUAGAAUGGCACAUACAGUGAUUACUGUGCUUGCCCUCUCUGGGGUGAGGCGUAUUUCGCCGUGGAGGACAUGAAACCGACGUUUCAUCUGCCCAAUUCCUCUCUCCACAACAUUUCGUGUAUGUUUGUGUGCUCGCAAAGAGCCAAUACGAUGUGUUUUACGCAUAGGACUAGCGUAAUCUGCGUAAUCACUUACAUUUAACUGUGCUCCCGGUUGUGGAUUGAGGUAGGGUGUCUAGAGCCACGUCUUGCAUGGAUAGUCACUGUCACCCAGCAAGUGACACCCAACUGGUACAUCUCAAAAAGCUGCCUCAGACCGCUCACCAUUAAAAUGCGCGAAUCAUGGGUAGCUGAAGAUCCAGGCCACUUUGCAACAACAUCCAGUAGGCUAUGUUAAAAUUUGCAUCAAAAACAACCUGCGUGUUGAUGGAAUGCACUUUCUUCCUAUUGACGAACACGUCCUCGUCUUUUGAUGGCGCAAUUAUUUUUAUUUUUUAUAAGUUAUAUUUCUUUUUUUAUAAUUUAUAAUUUUUAGAACAUUUUAUUUCGGGACUAAUCGGAUUAUUCCUGUUAGUCGGUGAUGUUAUUGCAUCGCGCAUUAACUCCACAAUAAGUUGAAUACCCUAACAUUUCGUCUCGCAGGCAUUUUAAGAUUCUUUGUGAAUAGGUCUUACUGAGUUAGGAGUCCUCUUGAGGACUUUUAAGCUCUCCUAGACUUAGGUGCUACUUUUAGUCCUAAAAUACUUUGUGAAUUGCUCUUAGUGAAAAAAGUUAGGAGUCCUAAAUUUAAGAGAAACACGCCCAUUAUUUUUAGGAGUUACUCCUAAAUUCGCCAGUUAGGACCUACUUUUAGCCCUAAGAUCCUUUGUGAAUACGGCCCCUGGGGCCGUAUUCACAAAGCAUUUUAUCUUACCGCUAGGAGUGCUCCUAACUCGCGCUAAAACAUUUUACGUAGGAGUUUUUUCUUAAAAGUUAUUCACAAAGCCGCUGAGACCUACUCUUACUAAGGAUAAAUCACAAAGAGUGAACUAAGAGUGACGCGCCGUUGCUAUGGAUUACGUCAAUUCUCGUGCAUGAGUUUAGAAGCGGUCAGUUCGGUGAUUGGUUGUUCAGACGAGCCCACUGAAUCACCGAAAAACAAGGAAAUAGCCUAGGCUAGAAAUUAAUUCCUAUUAAGUAGUUAUAGUGCAGUUAGCAGAAUACACGCAUGAUGACAAUUUUGUGCAGACCACGAUAAUGACGUUGUAGCCUGGCCCUGCACGUUCAAGAGAGAGAGAAAGCAAACAAUAAAAAUACGUAAAAUCGAAAAGAAAAUAAAUGUUACGAACUACCCAAGUGUUGACUGAUUUGUGCCAAGGUGUUUACCUAAAAUGUGUUUUCAAAGUGAUCCCUAAAUGCCUGUCCACUCGGUUCCACACGGCCAAAUUCCUUGUAAUGUUGAUCGCCAUCAUCAUCAUCAUCAUCAUCAUCAUCAUCAUCAUUAUCGUCUGGCUGUGGAAUGUUCCUCCGCUUGCAGAGGUUGUGUAGAAUGGCACAUACAGUGAUUACUGUGCUUGCCCUCUCUGGGGUGAGGCGUAUUUCGCCGUGGAGGACAUGAAACCGACGUUUCAUCUGCCCAAUUCCUCUCUCCACAACAUUUCGUGUAUGUUUGUGUGCUCGCAAAGAGCCAAUACGAUGUGUUUUACGCAUAGGACUAUACGUAAUCUGCGUAAUCACUUACAUAUUACACUUUAACUGUGCUCCCGGUUGUGGAUUGACGUAGGGUGUCUAGAGCCACGUCUGGCAUGGAUAGUCACUGUCACCCAGCAAGUGACACCCAACUGGUACAUCUCAAAAAGCUGCCUCAGACCGCUCACCAUUAAAAUGCGCGAAUCAUGGGUAGCUGAAGAUCCAGGCCACUUUGCAACAACAUCCAGUAGGCUAUGUUAAAAUUUGCAUCAAAAACAACCUGCGUGUUGAUGGAAUUUACUUUCUUCCUAUUGACGAACACGUCCUCGUCUUUUGAUGGGGCAAUUUUUUUUUUUUUUUAUAAGUUAUAUAUAUUUUUUUAUAACUUAGAAUUUUUAUAACAUUUUAUUUCGGGACUAAUCGGAUUAUUCCUGUUAGUCGGGGAUGUUAUUGCAUCGCGCAUUAACUCCACAAUAAAUUGAAUACCCUAACAUUUCGUCUCGCAGGCAUUUUAAGAUUCUUUGUGAAUAGGUCUUACUGAGUUAGGAGUCCUCUUGAGGACUUUUAAGCUCUCCUAGACUUAGGUGCUACUUUUAGUCCUAAAAUACUUUGUGAAUUGCUCUUAGUGAAAAAAGUUAGGAGUCCUAAAUUUAAGAGUGACACGCCCAUUAUUUUUAGGAGUUACUCCUAAAUUCGCCAGUUAGGACCUACUUUUAGCCCUAAGAUCCUUUGUGAAUACGGCCCCUGGUCUCUAUUCCGGGUUUUUCUCGUCUCCAGUAUUGCUGGUUCUGGUCACUAUUCCGGGUUGUUCUGGUCUCUACUGGUGGUUCUGGUCUCUAUUCCGGGUUUUUCUGGUCUCCAGUAUUGUUGGUUCUGGUCUCAAACAACUUCUACAGAUAGACAACUACAACUUGAGUGAUGUGUAGGGUGUAAUGUGUAGUAUGUAGUGUGUAGUGCAGUAUUUAGUAGUUCCCAUUACAUUACACACUACGUGUGUAAUGUAAUGGGAAGUUAGUAGUGUGUUGUGCAGUGGGUAGCGUAUAGAGUUUAAUGUAUAGUGUAUAGUAUAUAGUGUGUAGGGUGUAGUGUUCGGUGUUUAGGGGGAAGUGUAAAUGAUGAAAGAGUGAGAGAGAGUGACUAUGGAAACUUUUUGUGUAUUUUCAGAGGUUGUAUAUGAAUGUCACCAUUUUCUCCCAUGUCUCCCCAAUACAGCUUUAUCAGAGGAGUUUGAAGGAUCUGCUGAUCAACCCGAUGAUGAGGACCUUAUCCCUGCCGUGGAUGUGAAACCCAAAAAGGAAUUCCACGAUAGAUUUGACAUGGGCAAAACUACAGGGGAAGAAGAAUCAGGCCAGUUUGUGGGGAUUGUCGUUGGUGUGGCUGUGGCCAUGGUGGCUCUGUCUGUCGCUGUGAUAAUCGCAAUACUGUUGGUCCGACGCAACAUGCAAAGGCGUCAGCAAGGCGUGUACUCGGUGCCCGCAGACCAGGACCAGAAGGUCUCCGUGUAGCUCCUGGGUUCCAGCCCCCCAGGACCCAGUAGAACAUCGAAAGGAGGACCAAUGCACUGACCACAUAUUUCACUCACAGGGUUAAGGGUUUAACCCCGGACAGGUUCAGGGUUUGACCCGGACAGGUUCAGGGUUUGGCCCGGACAGGUUUAGGUUAAGGCGCCAUCUUGCAUAUCCCUGUAUACUUGUAUUUCUCGCUGCUGAUCUGUGCCACGCUCAUAUUAAUAAUUAGCAAGUGAUGUUUGCCUUUCUGUCAUGCUUCAAUCCUGCAUUUUUGCAUUAUAAUAUGAACACACCAUUUCACUUGGGAACAUUUGGAACACAUUAAGCCUUUUAAUAAGAUUCUAUUUAAAGAUGAAACGCGGGAGCCUUUAAAUGUUUCUUUAAAUGGAACGGCUUCUGUUGUGAGCGGGAUUUCUCCCAUUCCUCUCCGGCUAAGGUGCGUGGUGGAAACAUUGAUGUGGGGGAUCUGUUGGGACAGACCUGCCACGAGCGGAACAGGCUUAUUUCAAAGACAAACCGUGCUAAUCCACAGCAGAGUGGCUCAGUUCUCACUUCGGUUUCCUCUUCAUUUGCCUGACAUCCCCUGUUCUUCACCCAGUAGGAGUGGCAGGAGGGGAUGGGAGAUAAAGCUGGCUUUCCCCACAACUCAGGCCAGGCUCAACUAGUGAGUGUGUGUGUGUGUGUGUGUGUGUUUGUGUGUGUGUGUGUGUGUGUGUGUGUGUGUGUGUGUGUGUGUGUGUGUGUGUGUGUGUGUGUGUGUGUGUGUGUGUGUGUGUGUGUGUGUGUGUGUGUGUGUGUGUGUGUGUGUGUGUGCGUGUGUGUGUGUGUGUGUGUGCGAGAGUGUGUGUGUGCGAGUGUGUGUGUGUGUUUAUGUGUGUGUGUGCGUAUGUGUGUGCAGAUGUGUGUGUAUGCGUCUGUGUGUGUGUGUGUGUGUGUGUGUGUGUGUAUGCGUGUGUGUGUGUGUGUGUGUGUGCGUCUGUGUGUGUGUGUGUGUGUGUGUGUGUGUGUGUGUGUGUGUGUGUGUGUGUGUGUGUGUGUGUGUGUAUGCGUCUGUGUGUGUGUGUGCGUGUGUGCAGUGCUAGUUAGAACAUCCUGUUGCGAGGCAGUGAAUUAAUCGACCGCCAUGAAUGAUGACGUUUUUUUCCCCCCCCACUUCCUCCAGAAGACAAUCUCUCCAACGUCCUCAGCCUGGAAGAUUGUAAAUAAAAUAAAUAGCUCUAUGAUGGCUGGGGGUUGGGAAGAUGGGGUUUUAUAACCGGGACAGAGAGACAAAAUGGGGGUGGGGGAGAGAUUUUUAUACCCGUGACAGAAAGACAAGGGGGAGGGGCGGGGCAGAAUUUUCAAACAGCUUGUAAUAGACCUCUGAAGAAUAAGUCCCGGCUCCGAACCUCCCGGAUCCUCAAGUCAAAUGUCCAUGGGAAAUAACAUGUGGUUGUAGAAUGAUCGUACAUAACAAACUCUGUACUCAGCCUCGGGGGGCGGGACUUAUUCUUCAGAGGUCUAUGGCUGAUCACAUUCAAACCUGUUGGCCUGAUAUCACCCCUUUUAAGGUGCGCUUCUGGGGUCUCCGACCCAGUCUCACCCUUUGGAUGUGGUAUAUUGUUACGCCUACGAUCUGUUAAAAAUUGUAUGUAUAGGCAUUGUAUCUCAUGGUAAAAAUAAGACUGUAUAUAUAUAUAUAUAUAUAUA